Sebastes umbrosus (honeycomb rockfish) is the source of this 272-nucleotide long non-coding RNA. RefSeq lists it as uncharacterized. The transcript has 2 exons. The record is from RefSeq and is a predicted model, not a curated record. NCBI's taxonomy places the organism in Eukaryota, Metazoa, Chordata, Actinopteri, Perciformes, Sebastidae.
CAGCAGCAGCAGCAGCUCCCUCCUCCACCCUCAGUCUCUGUGAUGGUAAAACAGGCAGGAUGGAGAUCAAUAAUUCAUCCACUCACUGCACACUUCAAUAGGCUACUCUGUCACAAAGGUCUACUCUGUGAUGAUUAUUAUUUCAUUAAAGGACACCUUGCCGAUGGGAGUUUGGACCGGAGGCACGAGGGAAGGUCCAGGGAUGGUGAAGGCACUUUCUUUAAGCGAUACGCCUUUUUCUGGCAGUUCCACAUCAAACAAAUGGGACUUCC